RNAcentral lists this unclassified non-coding RNA (1429 nucleotides) under Polistes dominula (European paper wasp). RNAcentral describes it as "uncharacterized LOC107071509, transcript variant X3". The record is from RNAcentral. Lineage: Eukaryota; Metazoa; Arthropoda; Insecta; Hymenoptera; Vespidae.
UCUUGCAAUACGCGCCUGCGUAUCAAGGUGAUACACUAGCGCAUUUUCUUUCUAUAUGAGAACCACACAAGUUAAGUUCAAAGAUAAUGUAAUGGUCGAAAGAUGUUCAAUAGUGUACUUGCUGAUAAUUAUUAUAAAUUUGAUAUUUUCUUCUUGGUAAAAUCCGAAAAUGAAUAUAAAUUCUUCAGACAGCUUUUUUCCAUCGUCCUGGUUCCCUACAUAAAUAAUUGAUGCCAAAACUCGGGAAUCAACAAAAUGAAAAGUCAAGGAACAAAAAUGGUCAAAACAAAGAAUGACGCAGAUCGUAAUACUUUGAACAAAUAAUUCGAGAUACAGGCAAACGAAUUCUGGAGAGAUGAGUAACUAAGCAAUAGUAUGGGAUUCGUGAAAAAAAUUGGACCGCUGGACUGACUGGACCGGGGACUCGAACCACAGAUCUUUCGCUUUCCGGGCGACUGCUUUUUAACCAAUUGAGCUAUCCAGGGCCCACCGACCAAUCCUUCUCACGAAUGCCUGAUAAGUUUGGCAUGGAGGCGCUCGUCCCACAAUACUGAUCCAAAAAACUAGUAGUGGUUCCACUAUUAAUUUGACUUGGGAUCACGUUAAACGAUACUUGUGAAAUAUCCGCCAUUUAUGAUUCGGGCUGAGUUUAUUAAUGAAAUGUUCGAGCUAAAGAUCAACCAUUUGCGCAAUGCUGGAUUCAAAAAGAAGCUCGAUGUUUGGGUGCCACACCAAUUAACAUCAAAAAACAUGAUACAUCGAAUUUCCAUCUGCGAAACCUUGGCCAAACGGAAUGAAAUCGACCCAUUUCUUAAACGGAUGGUGACUGGGGAUGAGAAAUGGGUCACAUACGACAAUAUUGUGCGAAAAUGAUCGUGGUCAAAGCUCGAUGAAGCUACUCAAACGGUGGCCAAACCAGGACUAACGGCCAGGAAGGUUCUACUGUGCAUUUGGUGGGACUGAAAAGGAAUCAUUUAUUAUGAGUUGUUUAAAUAUGGCCAAACACUAAAUUCGGAUCUCUACUGUCAACAACUGGACCGUUUGAAGCUAGGGAUUGACCAGAACCGGCUAGAAUAGGCCAACAGGAGAAGUGUUGUGUUCCAUCAGAACAACGCCAGGUCACACAUGUCUAUAGUGACUUCCCACAAGCUCCAGGAGGUUGGUUAGGAAGUUUUAAUGUAUCCAUCAUAUAGACCAGACCUUACACCAAGCGAUUACCAUCUUUUUGUUGCACUGUAAAACUUUCUUAUUGAUAAGAAAUUGACAUUAAAAGAAGAUUGUAAAAAUCGAUCACUAGAGUUUAUCGCAAAUGGGAACCAAGACUUUUAUGAGACAGGUAUUGUGAAGCUAUCUUUAAAACGGCAAUAAAUUAACGAACAAAACGGUGCAUAUUUGAUCAAAAUCAGACAGACUUAUAUGUUAAAUAAAG